AUCCUGGCUCAGAUUGAACGCUGGCGGCAUGCCUUACACAUGCAAGUCGAACGGCAGCACGGGGCAACCUGGUGGCGAGUGGCGAACGGGUGAGUAAUGCAUCGGAACGUGCCAUUGAUGGGGGAUAACGUAGCGAAAGUUGCGCUAAUACCGCAUAUUCUGUGAGCAGGAAAGCAGGGGACCGCAAGGCCUCGCGCUCUUUGAGCGGCCGAUGUCAGAUUAGCUAGUUGGUGAGGUAACGGCUUACCAAGGCGACGAUCUGUAGCGGGGUCUGAGAGGAUGAUCCGCCACACUGGAACUGAGACACGGUCCAGACUCCUACGGGAGGCAGCAGUGGGGAAUUUUGGACAAUGGGCGCAAGCCUGAUCCAGCCAUGCCGCGUGAGUGAAGAAGGCCUUCGGGUUGUAAAGCUCUUUCGGCCGGGAAGAAAUCGCAUGGGUUAAUACCCUGUGUGGAUGACGGUACCGGAAUAAGAAGCACCGGCUAACUACGUG
RNAcentral lists this ribosomal RNA (494 nucleotides) under uncultured bacterium. RNAcentral describes it as "bacterial SSU rRNA". It matches the Rfam family "Bacterial small subunit ribosomal RNA", at positions 16 to 507 of the family's 1533-position model. The record is from RNAcentral.